CCCUUAGAUGUUCUGGGCCGCACGCGCGCUACACUGAACAGUUCAACAAGUCUUAACCUUGGCCGAUAGGUCUGGGUAAUCUUUGAACGCUGUUCGUGAUUGGGAUAGACCUUUGCAAUUAUGGAUCUUCAACGAGGAAUUCCUAGUAAACGCAAGUCAUCAGCUUGCAUUGAUUACGUCCCUGCCCUUUGUACACACCGCCCGUCGCACCUACCGAUUGAAUGGUCCGGUGAAAUCUCGGGACGGCGGCUUGGUCGCUUGCGUCCGACUGCUGAAACUUGAUUAAACCAUAUCAUUUAGAGGAAGGUGAAGUCGUANCA
This 320-nucleotide ribosomal RNA is filed under the name uncultured eukaryote. RNAcentral describes it as "partial 18S ribosomal RNA". It matches the Rfam family "Eukaryotic small subunit ribosomal RNA", at positions 1470 to 1796 of the family's 1831-position model. The record is from RNAcentral.